AGUGAACGCUGGCGGUAGGCCCAACACAUGCAAGUCGAACGGCAGCACAGUAAGAGCUUGCUCUUACGGGUGGCGAGUGGCGGACGGGUGAGGAAUACAUCGGAAUCUACUUUUUCGUGGGGGAUAACGUAGGGAAACUUACGCUAAUACCGCAUACGACCUACGGGUGAAAGCAGGGGAUCUUCGGACCUUGCGCGAUUGAAUGAGCCGAUGUCGGAUUAGCUAGUUGGCGGGGUAAAGGCCCACCAAGGCGACGAUCCGUAGCUGGUCUGAGAGGAUGAUCAGCCACACUGGAACUGAGACACGGUCCAGACUCCUACGGGAGGCAGCAGUGGGGAAUAUUGGACAAUGGGCGCAAGCCUGAUCCGGCCAUACCGCGUGGGUGAAGAAGGCCUUCGGGUUGUAAAGCCCUUUUGUUGGGAAAGAAAAGCAGCAGGUUAAUACCCCGCUGUUCUGACGGUACCCAAAGAAUAAGCACCGGCUAACUUCGUG
This 492-nucleotide ribosomal RNA is filed under the name uncultured bacterium. RNAcentral's name for it is "partial 16S ribosomal RNA". It matches the Rfam family "Bacterial small subunit ribosomal RNA", at positions 29 to 507 of the family's 1533-position model. The record is from RNAcentral.